This 685-nucleotide ribosomal RNA is filed under the name bacterium. RNAcentral's name for it is "bacterial SSU rRNA". It matches the Rfam family "Bacterial small subunit ribosomal RNA", at positions 76 to 756 of the family's 1533-position model. The record is from RNAcentral.
UAGCUUGCUACUGGACCUAGCGGCGGACGGGUGAGUAAUGCUUAGGAAUCUGCCUAUUAGUGGGGGACAACAUUCCGAAAGGAAUGCUAAUACCGCAUACGUCCUACGGGAGAAAGCAGGGGACCUUCGGGCCUUGCGCUAAUAGAUGAGCCUAAGUCGGAUUAGCUAGUUGGUGGGGUAAAGGCCUACCAAGGCGACGAUCUGUAGCGGGUCUGAGAGGAUGAUCCGCCACACUGGGACUGAGACACGGCCCAGACUCCUACGGGAGGCAGCAGUGGGGAAUAUUGGACAAUGGGGGGAACCCUGAUCCAGCCAUGCCGCGUGUGUGAAGAAGGCCUUAUGGUUGUAAAGCACUUUAAGCGAGGAGGAGGCUACUAGUAUUAAUACUACUGGAUAGUGGACGUUACUCGCAGAAUAAGCACCGGCUAACUCUGUGCCAGCAGCCGCGGUAAUACAGAGGGUGCGAGCGUUAAUCGGAUUUACUGGGCGUAAAGCGUGCGUAGGCGGCCAUUUAAGUCAAAUGUGAAAUCCCCGAGCUUAACUUGGGAAUUGCAUUCGAUACUGGAUGGCUAGAGUAUGGGAGAGGAUGGUAGAAUUCCAGGUGUAGCGGUGAAAUGCGUAGAGAUCUGGAGGAAUACCGAUGGCGAAGGCAGCCAUCUGGCCUAAUACUGACGCUGAGGUACGA